Molecule: ribosomal RNA, 467 nt
Filed under: uncultured bacterium
Lineage: Bacteria
Description: partial 16S ribosomal RNA
Rfam family: Bacterial small subunit ribosomal RNA
Source: RNAcentral
GAUGAACGCUGGCGGCGCGCCUAACACAUGCAAGUCGAACGAUUAAAGCACCUUCAGGUGUGUAUAAAGUGGCGAACGGCUGAGUAACACGUGGGCAACCUGCCCCUUUCAUUGGGAUAGCCACGGGAAACCGUGGAUAAUACCGAAUACUUCGAGACUUCCGCAUGGAAGACUCGAGAAAGCUCCGGCGGAGAGGGAUGGGCCCGCGGCCUGUUAGCUUGUUGGUGGGGUAACGGCCUACCAAGGCAAUGAUGGGUAGCUGGGUUGAGAGACCGACCAGCCAGAUUGGGACUGAGACACGGCCCAGACUCCUACGGGAGGCAGCAGUGGGGAAUCUUGCACAAUGGGCGAAAGCCUGAUGCAGCGACGCCGCGUGCGGGAUGAAGGCCUUCGGGUUGUAAACCGCUUUCAGCAGGGACGAGGCGAAAGUGACGGUACCUGCAGAAGAAGCCCCGGCUAACUACGUG